GACGAACCGUGCGAACGUUAUUCGGAAUCACUGGGCUUAAAGCGCGUGUAGGCGGGACGGCACGUCGGUCGCUGAAAGCCCCCGGCUCAACCGGGGAACGGGCGCCGAUACGACCGGCCUGGAGGGACGUAGGGGGACCUGGAACUUCCGGUGGAGCGGUGAAAUGCGUUGAGAUCGGGAGGAACAUCAGUGGCGAAGGCGGCCAUCUGGAUCAACACUGACGCUGAAGCACGAAAGCGUGGGGAGCAAACAGG
Molecule: ribosomal RNA, 254 nt
Filed under: uncultured bacterium
Lineage: Bacteria
Description: partial 16S ribosomal RNA
Rfam family: Bacterial small subunit ribosomal RNA
Source: RNAcentral